Long non-coding RNA from Chinchilla lanigera (long-tailed chinchilla), 468 nucleotides. RefSeq lists it as uncharacterized. Lineage: Eukaryota; Metazoa; Chordata; Mammalia; Rodentia; Chinchillidae. The transcript is spliced from 4 exons. The record is from RefSeq and is a predicted model, not a curated record.
GCACAGUCCCACCGUCCGGAAGAGGACGUCAAGGGCAGGGCACAGCUCUCAGCAGGCCCUACUGACCCUCCUUGCUCAAACGGGUGUAAAAUGUGUCUCCACAAGAUGACCUUGGAUAUGCCACUUUGCCUUUCCCUGUAGCUGGAGGUAACAACCUCCGCCAACACUGAGUUUGAAGAAGGAUUAAGAAGCUUAAUAUCUAAAGAAGCAGAUUCCAGGAUAAACAGUCGAGUGUUCGGGAGGCACAGGGGACACCAAUAAGGAAAUGAAGAUGGCUGGCAACCUUAAGGAGGAGGCCUUGGAAAGCCACCAACUGUAACAGGACAAUGGUACCUCCAGAAGAAGAAUGUGCUAUAGCCUCAGGACCUAGUGCAGGGCUGGCCACCCAGCUGGUGGAAAUAUGCACUACUGUUUGGAGACAGAGACAACCUCCCAUCUGCACUGGCAAUUGAAGGCAUAUCAUGUGAC